GUAGGUGGCAAGCGUUGUCCGGAAUUAUUGGGCGUAAAGCGCGCGCAGGCGGUUCUUUAAGUCUGAUGUGAAAGCCCACGGGCUCAACCGUGGAGGGUCAUUGGAAACUGGAGAACUUGAGUACAGAAGAGGAAAGCGGAAUUCCACGUGUAGCGGUGAAGUGCGUAGAGAUGUGGAGGAACACCAGUGGCGAAGGCGGCUUUCUGGUCUGUAACUGACGCUGAGGCGCGAAAGCGUGGGGAGCAAACAGGAUUAGAUACCCUGGUAGUCCACGCCGUAAACGAUGAGUGCUAAGUGUUAGGGGGUUCCCGCCCCUUAGUGCUGCAGCUAACGCAUUAAGCACUCCGCCUGGGGAGUACGGCCGCAAGGCUG
This 372-nucleotide ribosomal RNA is filed under the name uncultured organism. RNAcentral's name for it is "partial 16S ribosomal RNA". It matches the Rfam family "Bacterial small subunit ribosomal RNA", at positions 527 to 896 of the family's 1533-position model. The record is from RNAcentral.